AAGGUUUUAAGUUAAUUAAACUAAUAGCCUUCAAAGCUAUAAAUAAAAUAUUCAAUUUUAAACCUUA
Molecule: transfer RNA, 67 nt
Filed under: Shoveliteratura triangula
Lineage: Eukaryota; Metazoa; Arthropoda; Insecta; Orthoptera; Tettigoniidae
Description: tRNA-Trp
Rfam family: tRNA
About the family: Transfer RNA (tRNA) molecules are approximately 80 nucleotides in length. Their secondary structure includes four short double-helical elements and three loops (D, anti-codon, and T loops).
Source: RNAcentral